This 237-nucleotide unclassified non-coding RNA is filed under the name uncultured fungus. Its description in RNAcentral is "sequence contains ITS2". The stretch from base 1 to 52 matches the Rfam family "5.8S ribosomal RNA", at positions 103 to 154 of the family's 154-position model. Lineage: Eukaryota; Fungi. The record is from RNAcentral.
AACGCACAUUGCGCCCUCCGGUAUUCCGGGGGGCAUGCCUGUUCGAGCGUCAUUACAACCCUCAAGCUUUGCUUGGUAUUGGGUGCUACCGUUUUGGUACACCUUAAAAUCAGUGGCGGUGCCACCUGGCUUCUAGCGUAGUAAUACUCCUCGCUAUGGAGAUGGGCGUGUACUUGCCAUAACCCCCAAUUUUUUAAGGUUGACCUCGGAUCAGGUAGGGAUACCCGCUGAACUUAA